CCCUUAGAUGUUCUGGGCCGCACGCGUGCUACACUGAGUGGAUCAGCGGGUCAGGUUGCGCGAAAGCGUUUCCUAAUCUUUAAAUCCGCUCGUGAUGGGGAUUGACGGUUGCAAUUUUCUGUCAUGAACGAGGAAUACCUUGUAAGCGCGGGUCAUCAUCCCGCGCUGAAUACGUCCCUGCCCUUUGUACACACCGCCCGUCGCUCCUACCGAUUGAGUGGUCCGGUGAGGCUUUGGGAUCUGAGCGGAAAGAGCGUUUCGCUGUUUCUGCUCGGCAAACUCAGUCGAACCUUAUCAUUUAGAGGAAGGAGAAGUCGUAACA
Molecule: ribosomal RNA, 322 nt
Filed under: uncultured eukaryote
Lineage: Eukaryota
Description: partial 18S ribosomal RNA
Rfam family: Eukaryotic small subunit ribosomal RNA
Source: RNAcentral